Molecule: ribosomal RNA, 292 nt
Filed under: uncultured bacterium
Lineage: Bacteria
Description: partial 16S ribosomal RNA
Rfam family: Bacterial small subunit ribosomal RNA
Source: RNAcentral
GUGCCAGCCGCCGCGGUAAUACGUAGGUGGCAAGCGUUGUCCGGAUUUACUGGGCGUAAAGCGCGCGUAGGCGGUUUGGAAAGUCCGUGGUGAAAUCUCCUGGCUCAACCAGGAGGGGUCUGCGGAUACUCCCAGACUUGAGUGCCGUAGAGGAAGGUGGAAUUCCCGGUGUAGUGGUGAAAUGCGUAGAUAUCGGGAGGAACACCAGUGGCGAAGGCGGCCUUCUAGGCGGCAACUGACGCUGAGGCGCGAAAGCGUGGGGAGCGAACCGGAUUAGAAACCCCCGUAGUCC